Long non-coding RNA from Mauremys mutica (yellowpond turtle), 268 nucleotides. RefSeq lists it as uncharacterized. The transcript is spliced from 3 exons. The record is from RefSeq and is a predicted model, not a curated record. NCBI's taxonomy places the organism in Eukaryota, Metazoa, Chordata, Testudines, Geoemydidae.
CCGUCCCUGCUGUUACCCGGAGGAGCCGCCCGAGCACGCCUGGCCAGACUUCCCGGAGGAGCUGCCGGACCUGCCACCAAGCACUGGUCCUGAGGAGCCUAUGCUGAUUGACUGGCCUGGAGCUGGUGCCACGGGUGAGCAAAUAGACAGGGCCUUUUGUCCAAAGCACUCCCGCCCCAGCCUUCUGGAAGAGGUGGAAAGAAUGGGGCCCCUAACGGGGGCAAGAUGACUGAGCGGUGACCUCUGGUGAGCAAAAUGAAAUGGCCAC